Podarcis lilfordi (Lilford's wall lizard) is the source of this 72-nucleotide non-coding RNA. NCBI's taxonomy places the organism in Eukaryota, Metazoa, Chordata, Lepidosauria, Squamata, Lacertidae. The record is from the annotation of a GenBank genome assembly.
UGUUUUAUAGCUCAGUGCUAGAACAUCUGCUUUGCAUGCAGAAAGUCCCAGGAUCAGUCCCCGGUGGGAGAG